UUGGUGUGGAAAGCAGCUAUAAAAUACGUAUUUGAACAAUGCCAGUUAGGGUUAUGUGGUUUCAAACUACCUGCUGCUAUUAAACACUAAAACGGAUUUUUCUCUUUACCUGUAUUCACUGUCCCCUAGAUAAGACAGGUGGAAGGAAGAGCUGCUGCCACUACUGUGUGGUGUUAUAAACCUCACCACUUUCACUUCCUAUCUAAAUUGCCAGACAGCUGCUCUUGGGGGGGUUCCUGCCCUCCAUGACCAGAGGCUGGAUCUACAAUGCAUUGAUGGCACAGCGCAAACACAAUUCUUCUGUUCUUUGGGAUGUUAAUAAUUGCUUCAAGUGAGAGCUGGACCAUAAAGAAGGCUCAUCACCGAAGAAUCGAUGCUUUUGAAUUAUGGUGCUGGAGGAGACUCCUGAGAGUCCCAUGGACUGCAAGAAGAUCAAACCUAUCCAUUCCUAAGGAAAUCAGCCCUGGGUGCUCACUGGAAGGACAGAUCCUGAAGCUGAGGCUCCAA
This is a long non-coding RNA of Podarcis raffonei (Aeolian wall lizard), 507 nucleotides long. RefSeq lists it as uncharacterized. NCBI's taxonomy places the organism in Eukaryota, Metazoa, Chordata, Lepidosauria, Squamata, Lacertidae. The record is from RefSeq and is a predicted model, not a curated record. The transcript is spliced from 3 exons.